RNAcentral lists this ribosomal RNA (1519 nucleotides) under metagenome. RNAcentral describes it as "bacterial SSU rRNA". It matches the Rfam family "Bacterial small subunit ribosomal RNA". The record is from RNAcentral.
AGAGUUUGAUCCUGGCUCAGAACGAACGCUGGCGGCGUGGCUAAGACAUGCAAGUCAAACGGACUAUCCAAUUGAGUAAUCGAGCGGAUAGUUAGUGGCGAAAGGGUGCGGAAUAAAUAGGUAACGUACGCCGGACAUCGGGAUAGCGUCAUUUACCUUCGGGUAAAUUUCCGAAAGGGACGGUAAUACCGUAUGAUAUCAUUUAUCAUAAGAUAUAUGAUCAAAGAUUUAUCGGUCUGGGAGCGGCCUAUUUCCUGUCAGCUUGUUGGUGAGGUAACGGCUCACCGAGGCAUCGACGGGUAGCGGGACUGAGAGGUUGGCCCGCCACAUUGGGACUGAGACACUGCCCAGACCCCCACGGGGGGCUGCAGUAACGAAUAUUGCGCAAUGGACGAAAGUCUGACGCAGCGACGCCGCGUGUAGGAUGAAGCUUCUCGGAGUGUAAACUACUGUCAGGGGUUAGAAAGUGCACUUCGGCGUAUUGAUCAGCCCCAGAGGAAGUCACGGCUAACUUCGUGCCAGCAGCCGCGGUAAUACGAAGGUGGCAAGCGUUGUUCGGAAUCACUGGGCUUAAAGCGCGCGUAGGCGGAAAUACAAGUGUCUUGUGAAAUCCCCCGGCUUAACCGGGGAAUUGCUUGGCAAACUGUAUUUCUUGAGGCAAGUAGGGGUACAUGGAACUCUUGGUGGAGCGGUGGAAUGCGUAGAUAUCAAGAGGAACGCCAAUGGUGAAGACAGUGUACUGGGCUUGUCCUGACGCUGAGGUGCGAAAGCGUGGGGAGCGAACGGGAUUAGAUACCCCGGUAGUCCACGCCGUAAACGAUGUCUACUAGGUUGUGGAGGCUCUGACGCCCUCACGGCCGGAGCAAAAGUGUUAAGUAGACCGCCUGGGGAGUACGGCCGCAAGGCUAAAACUCAAAGGAAUUGACGGGGGCUCACACAAGCGGUGGAGCAUGUGGAUUAAUUCGAAUCAACGCGCAGAACCUUACCUGGGUUUGACAUGUUUGGAUGGUUGCCGGGAAACCGGUUAAUCUGCCUUCGGGUGAAACUUACACAGGUGCUGCAUGGCUGUCGUCAGCUCGUGUCGUGAGAUGUCGGGUUAAGUCCUCUAACGAGCGAAACCCUUACCGUUAGUUACCAGCGCGUUAUGGCGGGCACUCUAGCGGGACCGCCGGUGUUAAACCGGAGGAAGGCGGGGAUGACGUCAAGUCCUCAUGGCCUUUAUGCCCAGGGCUUCACACGUGCUACAAUGGCCACUACAGAGCGAAGCGAUACCGUGAGGUGGAGCAAAUCGCAAAAAAGUGGCCCCAGUUCGGAUUGCAGGCUGUCAACUCGCCUGCAUGAAGUCGGAAUCGCUAGUAAUCGCGUAUCAGCUACGACGCGGUGAAUGUGUUCCUGAGCCUUGUACACACCGCCCGUCAAGUGAUGGGAGUUGGGAGUACCCGAAGUCGGAUUGCUAACCCCUCGGGGGAGCGUCUGCCGACGGUAAGCUCGAUGACUGGCACUAAGUCGUAACAAGGUA